UCAUUAAUUAAUUGGAAGGGGACUAAUUUCCGAACUGUCAAAUUUAAGUGCGAAUUAAUUUUAAUAACCCAAUUGAGACAGACCCUAAGAUGCAAGCAAAUGUUUUAUCGGUGAGUUGUAUCCUUUAUGAGGGAUUUGCAGUUUGUUUCACAUCUAGUGGAUGCAGAAUAAUGAAAGGAGAAGAGGUUAUACUAACUGGUGAGAGGAAAGGUGCGUUGUUUGUUGUGAGGCAAGGAUGAAUGGGAAUUCGAAUAGCUUAAAUUAACGUUUUGAUAACAGGAUAAAUUCAAGAGAUAUUCUAUUCAAGAGCAGAUUUGAAGUUUUUCAGCAUUGAUUUAGGAGGAGCUGUUGUGUUAUGAGGGAUCGACACUAAGGAGGAGUAUUGGAAGUUGAAUAGUGUCCGGCCCCUCAUACUAGACUGUACACUGAAACAAAUUGCAUCGUCAAACGAACGACCACCAAAUAGUAAAAUGCACUAUGGCCAAAUGUUUGCAAAAUUACUAUAAAAUCAGUUAAAAUUAUCCACAUUUUAUUAUUUUCACAAUUUUUAUAGUCAUCCUUUCGUAGUAAAUUUAACAACACAAAGUCUUUAAAUAGCUUAUACAAAUUUCAACAAUUUAUAGCUCAAUCAACUAUUUCCGUUGUCUAUAAUAUCAUGUUAUUCUCAAUUUGACGGUAUUCAUGUUUAAAUCUUCAACAUCGAUGUUUAUUUUCCAAUCGUGUUUAUAAACAGACUGGCCUCCAUUUUAUUCUCGAUCUGGUUGUGCAAAUGUUGAAACGCCGGCAAAGUUUUGAAGUUUUCUGUUUUAAAUAAUGUUCAAAAACACUAGAAUUUGUUUAACUGAGUAGCGCUGGCCGAGUAGUAGAGAAAUUUAUUGGUGCAAAUAAAGCCCACUUCCUGACUCAGUUGGAAAUUUAUUCGUAACAGAUAGAUAAACAAGAUCAUCUGGUACCACUUACAAUUUUUGCUGAUGAAAAAGAUGUUAAUGGUAAAAUAGUAUCCGUUUGCAUAUUUUAUGGUCGCUCUUUCAGUGCUAUUUUUUUAUUUUUUUCAGUUGUGCAUGGAUUUGUUAAUUCCUCGUCAGACGCUUAUCAAUUGUCGAGAAGUAUUUUCAUGGUGCCCAAUCGAUCGAACUCACCCACCAGCAGAACGCCUAUGCCCCAAAUCAAAUAUGCGUAUAGUUUCCGAUAUAUGACGUUUUUGAUACUAUGUCGUUUCGAUGUACCUGUUAAUACAAUAAACUGUUCUCUAUGCUGGA
Long non-coding RNA from Aedes aegypti (yellow fever mosquito), 1259 nucleotides. RefSeq lists it as uncharacterized. NCBI's taxonomy places the organism in Eukaryota, Metazoa, Arthropoda, Insecta, Diptera, Culicidae. The transcript is spliced from 2 exons. The record is from RefSeq and is a predicted model, not a curated record.